GCCUAUAGCUCAGUUGGUCAGAGCUGCGGACUCAUAAUCCGUUGGUCCCAGGUUCAAGUCCUGGUGGGC
RNAcentral lists this transfer RNA (69 nucleotides) under chicken gut metagenome. It matches the Rfam family "tRNA". From Rfam's summary of the family: Transfer RNA (tRNA) molecules are approximately 80 nucleotides in length. Their secondary structure includes four short double-helical elements and three loops (D, anti-codon, and T loops). The record is from RNAcentral.